Molecule: ribosomal RNA, 860 nt
Filed under: Phyllosticta phoenicis
Lineage: Eukaryota; Fungi; Ascomycota; Dothideomycetes; Botryosphaeriales; Phyllostictaceae
Description: partial large subunit ribosomal RNA
Rfam family: Eukaryotic large subunit ribosomal RNA
Source: RNAcentral
AAAGAAACCAACAGGGAUUGCCUCAGUAACGGCGAGUGAAGCGGCAAUAGCUCAAAUUUGAAAGCUGGCGUCUUCGAUGUCCGCGUUGUAAUUUGUAGAGGAUGCUUCGGCGAAGACUCCUGCCUAAGUCCCCUGGAACGGGGCGUCAUAGAGGGUGAGAAUCCCGUGUGUGGCGGGCAGUCUAAGCCAUGUGAAGCUCCUUCGACGAGUCGAGUUGUUUGGGAAUGCAGCUCUAAAUGGGAGGUAAAUUUCUUCUAAAGCUAAAUAUUGGCCAGAGACCGAUAGCGCACAAGUAGAGUGAUCGAAAGAUGAAAAGCACUUUGGAAAGAGAGUUAAAAAGUACGUGAAAUUGUUGAAAGGGAAGCGCUUGCAACCAGACUCGCCCGUAGUUGCUCAGCCGGCCUCUUGGCCGGUGUACUCUUCUGCGGUCGGGCCAGCAUCAGUUCGGGCGGCUGGAUAAAGGUGCCGGGAAUGUAGCACCCUUCGGGGUGUGUUAUAGCCCGGCGCGGAAUGCAGCCAGCCUGGACUGAGGAUCUCGCUUCGGCAAGGAUGCUGGCGUAAUGGUUGUAAGCGGCCCGUCUUGAAACACGGACCAAGGAGUCUAACAUCUAUGCGAGUGUUUGGGUGUCAAACCCAUGCGCGUAAUGAAAGUGAACGGAGGUGGGAACCCUUUACGGGGUGCACCAUCGACCGAUCCUGAUGUCUUCGGAUGGAUUUGAGUAAGAGCAUAGCUGUUGGGACCCGAAAGAUGGUGAACUAUGCCUGAAUAGGGUGAAGCCAGAGGAAACUCUGGUGGAGGCUCGCAGCGGUUCUGACGUGCAAAUCGAUCGUCAAAUUUGGGUAUAGGGGCGAAAGACUAA